UUUCACUUAAUAAAACUCUCUGGAUUCCAGAGCCUUCUCUGAAACGCUCCUCCUUCUCUCUAGUUUCUCUCUCUACAUUCUUCAUGAUUUUUCGGUUUAAUCUGAAUGUUAACAUGGUAUCAGAGCCUAGAUGACGAUUCGACUACUUUUCUCUACAUCUCGUUGUCUUGGUUGAACUCUUUUUGAGAUUUUUUGGGGAUUUUUCUGAGACCUUAUGGUCAAUGAUGCUUCUGACCUAGAUCGGAUGCUUUUCCGAGUUUUUCAUCAUGAUAUCUGAGUGUAUUUUCUUCACCCGAACAUUCUGAGAGUUUUUCUACUGAUUUCGGGUGGUUUCUCGUUGACCUAUCAGCUUCUAGGGUUUCUGGUGGUUUAACCUAGGGUUGUACUGCUUUCCGAUGGCUCGAUUCUCACUCAGUGGACGUUUUGGGUGCCUCUCCGACAUUACUGACCAUAUUUCCA
RNAcentral lists this long non-coding RNA (459 nucleotides) under Nicotiana benthamiana. Its description in RNAcentral is "long non-coding RNA (NBEN_LNC040898)". The record is from RNAcentral. Lineage: Eukaryota; Viridiplantae; Streptophyta; Magnoliopsida; Solanales; Solanaceae.